This 496-nucleotide ribosomal RNA is filed under the name uncultured bacterium. Its description in RNAcentral is "partial 16S ribosomal RNA". It matches the Rfam family "Bacterial small subunit ribosomal RNA", at positions 28 to 507 of the family's 1533-position model. The record is from RNAcentral.
GAUGAACGCUGGCGGCGUGCCUAAUACAUGCAAGUCGAGCGAACAGACGAGGAGCUUGCUCCUCUGACGUUAGCGGCGGACGGGUGAGUAACACGUGGAUAACCUACCUAUAAGACUGGGAUAACUUCGGGAAACCGGAGCUAAUACCGGAUAAUAUAUUGAACCGCAUGGUUCAAUAGUGAAAGACGGUUUUGCUGUCACUUAUAGAUGGAUCCGCGCCGCAUUAGCUAGUUGGUAAGGUAACGGCUUACCAAGGCAACGAUGCGUAGCCGACCUGAGAGGGUAAUCGGCCACACUGGAACUGAGACACGGUCCAGACUCCUACGGAGGCAGCAGUAGGGAAUCUUCCGCAAUGGGCGAAAGCCUGACGGAGCAACGCCGCGUGAGUGAUGAAGGUCUUCGGAUCGUAAAACUCUGUUAUUAGGGAAGAACAAAUGUGUAAGUAACUAUGCACGUCUUGACGGUACCUAAUCAGAAAGCCACGGCUAACUACGUG